This 253-nucleotide ribosomal RNA is filed under the name uncultured bacterium. RNAcentral's name for it is "partial 16S ribosomal RNA". It matches the Rfam family "Bacterial small subunit ribosomal RNA", at positions 524 to 776 of the family's 1533-position model. The record is from RNAcentral.
CACGUAGGGCGCAAGCGUUGUCCGGAAUUAUUGGGCGUAAAGAGCUCGUAGGCGGUCUGUUGCGUCUGCUGUGAAAACCCGGGGCUUAACCCCUGGCUUGCAGUGGAUACGGACAGACUAGAGGUAGGUAGGGGAGAAUGGAAUUCCCGGUGUAGCGGUGAAAUGCGCAGAUAUCGGGAGGAACACCGGUGGCGAAGGCGGCAUCCUGGACCGACAUUGACGCUGAGGAGCGAAAGCCAGGGGAGCAAACGGG